GUUAGGAAUAUUGGACAAUGGGCGCAAGCCUGAUCCAGCCAUGCCGCGUGAGUGAUGAAGGCCUUCGGGUUGUAAAGCUCUUUAGCCGAUGAUUAUAAUGACUGUAGUCGGAAAAUAAGCCCCGGCUAACUUCGUGCCAGCAGCCGCGGUAAUACGAAGGGGGCGAGCGUUAUUCGGAAUCACUGGGCGUAAAGCGUGCGUAGGCGGCUUUGCAAGUUGGGAGUGAAAGCCCAGGGCUCAACCCUGGAAUUGCGCUCAAAACUGCAAGGCUCGAAUUCGGGAGAGGAUAGCGGAAUUGUCAGUGUAGCAGUGAAAUGCGUAGAUAUUGACAGGAACACCAGUGGCGUAAGCGGCUAUCUGGACCGAUAUUGACGCUGAGGCACGAAAGCGUGGGGAUCAAACAGGAUUAGAAACCCCUGGUAGUCC
This 426-nucleotide ribosomal RNA is filed under the name uncultured bacterium. Its description in RNAcentral is "partial 16S ribosomal RNA". It matches the Rfam family "Bacterial small subunit ribosomal RNA", at positions 354 to 796 of the family's 1533-position model. The record is from RNAcentral.